Molecule: ribosomal RNA, 419 nt
Filed under: uncultured Alphaproteobacteria bacterium
Lineage: Bacteria; Pseudomonadati; Pseudomonadota; Alphaproteobacteria
Description: partial 16S ribosomal RNA
Rfam family: Bacterial small subunit ribosomal RNA
Source: RNAcentral
UUACUGGGCGUARAGCGCACGUAGGCGGCUUUGUAAGUAAGAGGUGAAAGCCUGGKGCUCAACACCAGAACUGCCAYYGAGACUGCAUCGCUUGAGUCCRGGAGAGGUGAGUGGAAUUCCGAGUGUAGAGGUGAAAUUCGUAGAUAUUCGGAAGAACACCAGUGGCGAAGGCGGCUCACUGGACUGGUUUUGACGCUGAGGUGCGAAAGCGUGGGGAGCAAACAGGAUUAGAUCCCCUGGUAGUCCACCSCGUAAACGAUGAUCWCUAGCUGKCGGGGCWCUUAGAGCUUCGGUGGCGCAGCUAACGCAUUAAGUUAUCCGCCUGGGGAGUACGGCCGCAAGGYUAAAACUCAAAUGAAUUGACGGGGGCCUGCACAAGCAGUGGAGCAUGUGGCUUAAUUCGAAGCAACGCGCAGAAC